Molecule: non-coding RNA, 110 nt
Organism: Brugia malayi
Lineage: Eukaryota; Metazoa; Nematoda; Chromadorea; Rhabditida; Onchocercidae
Source: RefSeq, a predicted model, not a curated record
UUCUGAAAGUGCAAGUAACAGCCGUUGUAUCAUUUGUGAUUUAUGUUUUAUUAUCGCUUAUCAUAUCACAGAAUUGAUGCAGCGAGCUGUACUUGUCGCAAUAUUCAGAA